GACGAACGCUGGCGGCGUGCUUAACACAUGCAAGUCGAACGCUGAAGCUCAGCUUUUGUUGGGUGGAUGAGUGGCGCACGGGUGAGUAACACGUGAGUAACCUGCCCCCUUCUUUGUGAUAUCGCCCGGAGACGGGUGCUAAUACUGGAUAUUCCCUGGUCUUCGCCUGGGGGUUGGUGGAAAGGGUUUUUCUGCUGGGGGUUGGGCUAGCGGCCUCUCCGCUUGUUGGUGGGGUGAUGGCCUACCCAGGCGUUGACGGGUAGACGGGCUGAGAGGGUGACCGGUCACAGAGAGACUGAGAUAAGGCCCAGACUAGGACGCGAGGCGGCAGUGGGGAAAAUGGGACAAUGGGUGAAAGAGUGAUGCAGCGAGGCCGCGUGAGGGAUGGAGACCGUCGAGUUGUGAACCUCGGGCGCACAGGGUGAAGCCGCAACAAUGGUUGUGGUGACGGUAGUGGGUAAAGAAGCGCCGGCUAACUACGUG
This 483-nucleotide ribosomal RNA is filed under the name uncultured bacterium. RNAcentral describes it as "partial 16S ribosomal RNA". It matches the Rfam family "Bacterial small subunit ribosomal RNA", at positions 28 to 507 of the family's 1533-position model. The record is from RNAcentral.